RNAcentral lists this long non-coding RNA (351 nucleotides) under Rattus norvegicus (Norway rat). RNAcentral's name for it is "long non-coding RNA NONRATT023274". The record is from RNAcentral. Lineage: Eukaryota; Metazoa; Chordata; Mammalia; Rodentia; Muridae.
UCCUUCUUUCCUUCCUCUCUCUCUUCCUUGGUAUCAUCAUGCCUGCACAUGUGAGGAACAUGAUUUACCUCGAAGGCUUUCAGUUCCUCCUAGCAUGACUGAGAUCUGACCAGCCGACUCACGAGUUGCUUCUUGUGCCACCACUGCAGUGCUGGGGCCUCUUCAUCGCUCCAAACUACAGCACUGUCAUGGCAGCUGCCUCUACUUCCAGCCCUGUGAUUUCACAGCCCCAGUUCACAGCCAUGAACGAACAACAGUGCUUCUACAACGAGUCUAUCGCCUUCUUCUAUAACCGGAGUGGAAAGUAUCUAGCCACAGAAUGGAACACUGUGAGCAAGCUGGUGAUGGGAC